This 253-nucleotide ribosomal RNA is filed under the name uncultured bacterium. RNAcentral describes it as "partial 16S ribosomal RNA". It matches the Rfam family "Bacterial small subunit ribosomal RNA", at positions 524 to 776 of the family's 1533-position model. The record is from RNAcentral.
UACGUAGGUGGCAAGCGUUGUCCGGAUUUACUGGGCGUAAAGCGCGCGCAGGCGGGUUGGUCAGUCUGGGGUGAAAUCUCACAGCUCAACCGUGAGGGGUCCCUGGAUACUGCCAGCCUUGAGGGGCUCAGAGGAGAGUGGAAUUCCGGGUGUAGUGGUGGAAUGCGUAGAUAUCCGGAGGAACACCAGUGGCGAAAGCGGCUCUCUGGGGGCAACCUGACGCUGAGGCGCGAAAGCGUGGGGAGCGAACCGG